RNAcentral lists this unclassified non-coding RNA (243 nucleotides) under uncultured fungus. RNAcentral's name for it is "sequence contains ITS2". The stretch from base 1 to 52 matches the Rfam family "5.8S ribosomal RNA", at positions 103 to 154 of the family's 154-position model. Lineage: Eukaryota; Fungi. The record is from RNAcentral.
AACGCACAUUGCGCCCCUUGGUAUUCCGAGGGGCAUGCCUGUUCGAGCGUCAUUACAACCCUCAAGCAUUGCUUGGUAUUGGGCUCCGCUGCUUACCCAGCGGGCCUUAAAAUCAGUGGCGGUGCCGUCGAGGCCCUGAGCGUAGUAAAUAUCCUCGCUAUAGGGACUCGGUGGACGCUGGCUAUUAACCCCCAACUUUCUAAGUUUGACCUCGGAUCAGGUAGGGAUACCCGCUGAACUUAA